This 329-nucleotide ribosomal RNA is filed under the name uncultured bacterium. RNAcentral describes it as "bacterial SSU rRNA". It matches the Rfam family "Bacterial small subunit ribosomal RNA", at positions 161 to 507 of the family's 1533-position model. The record is from RNAcentral.
GCCUAAUACCGCAUAAUGUGCCGGGAGGCAUCCUCCUGGUACCAAAGCUUAAUGUGCUGAAAGAUGGUCUCGCGUCUGAUUAGCUAGAUGGCGGGGUAACGGCCCACCAUGGCGACGAUCAGUAGCCGGUCUGACGAGGAUGAACGGCCACAUUGGGACCUGAGAUACGGCCCAGACUCCUACGGGAGGCAGCAGUGAGGAAUAUUGGGCAAUGGGCGCAAGCCUGACCCAGCAAUGCCGCGUGAAGGAAGACGGUUUUCGGAUUGUAAACUUCUUUAAGAGGGACGAUAAUGACGGUACCUCUUGAAUAAGCCACGGCUAACUACGUG